Molecule: transfer RNA, 72 nt
Filed under: Camelus bactrianus (Bactrian camel)
Lineage: Eukaryota; Metazoa; Chordata; Mammalia; Artiodactyla; Camelidae
Also listed under: 2 other names
Rfam family: tRNA
About the family: Transfer RNA (tRNA) molecules are approximately 80 nucleotides in length.
Source: Rfam by way of RNAcentral
GAGGGUAUAGCUCAGUGGUAGAGUGCAUGCCUAGCAAGCACGAAGUCCUGGGUUCAAUCCCCAGUACCUCCU